CAACCCUAGGAAUGUGUGCCAUU
Molecule: microRNA, 23 nt
Filed under: Pteropus alecto (black flying fox)
Lineage: Eukaryota; Metazoa; Chordata; Mammalia; Chiroptera; Pteropodidae
Description: pal-miR-652-5p
Gene: pal-miR-652-5p
Source: miRBase by way of RNAcentral